AUAAGCCUGUGAUGGAUGUUAGUUAUCCCUGUCUGAAAAUUUCAGCUGAGGGAAAAUACUAUGUUCUGAGGCUUAG
Small nucleolar RNA from Phodopus roborovskii (desert hamster), 76 nucleotides. RefSeq annotates it as small nucleolar RNA R38. The record is from RefSeq and is a predicted model, not a curated record. The transcript has a single exon. Lineage: Eukaryota; Metazoa; Chordata; Mammalia; Rodentia; Cricetidae.